UUGAGCCGUGUACAGUGAAAGUUGUAUGCACGGUUCUGAGGGGAGGGAGGGGCUAUAUCUGAAACCCCCUGCUUUACCCGAC
This is a non-coding RNA of Oscillatoriales cyanobacterium, 82 nucleotides long. The record is from Rfam. NCBI's taxonomy places the organism in Bacteria, Bacillati, Cyanobacteriota, Cyanophyceae, Oscillatoriales.